GGGUUGUGAGGUUAAGCGACUAAGCGUACACGGUGGAUGCCCUGGCAGUCAGAGGCGAUGAAGGACGUGCUAAUCUGCGAUAAGCGCCGGUAAGGUGAUAUGAACCGUUAUAACCGGCGAUUUCCGAAUGGGGAAACCCAGUGUGACUCGUCACACUAUCAUUAACUGAAUCCAUAGGUUAAUGAGGCGAACCGGGGGAACUGAAACAUCUAAGUACCCCGAGGAAAAGAAAUCAACCGAGAUUCCCCCAGUAGCGGCGAGCGAACGGGGAGGAGCCCAGAGCCUGAAUCAGCAUGUGUGUUAGUGGAAGCGUCUGGAAAGGCGCGCGAUACAGGGUGACAGCCCCGUACACAAAAGCGCAUAUGCUGUGAGCUCGAUGAGUAGGGCGGGACACGUGGUAUCCUGUCUGAAUAUGGGGGGACCAUCCUCCAAGGCUAAAUACUCCUGACUGACCGAUAGUGAACCAGUACCGUGAGGGAAAGGCGAAAAGAACCCCGGCGAGGGGAGUGAAAAAGAACCUGAAACCGUGUACGUACAAGCAGUGGGAGCCCCACCACUAAGCCAGUGGUGAACUCCACAUACGCAUCCUUUGCUGAGGAUACGGUUAACGGAGCGAAAGCGACGUUCAACCUCAAAAGAAGCAGAGGGGGCUUAGUGGUGGGGUGACUGCGUACCUUUUGUAUAAUGGGUCAGCGACUUAUAUUCUGUAGCAAGGUUAACCGAAUAGGGGAGCCGGAGGGAAACCGAGUCUUAAUUGGGCGUUAAGUUGCAGGGUAUAGACCCGAAACCCGGUGAUCUAGCCAUGGGCAGGUUGAAGGUUGGGUAACACUAACUGGAGGACCGAACCGACUAAUGUUGAAAAAUUAGCGGAUGACCUGUGGCUGGGGGUGAAAGGCCAAUCAAACCGGGAGAUAGCUGGUUCUCCCCGAAAGCUAUUUAGGUAGCGCCUCGUGAAUUCAUCUCCGGGGGUAGAGCACUGUUUCGGCUAGGGGGCCAUCCCGGCUUACCAACCCGAUGCAAACUGCGAAUACCGGAGAAUGUUAUCACGGGAGACACACGGCGGGUGCUAACGUCCGUCGUGAAGAGGGAAACAACCCAGACCGCCAGCUAAGGUCCCAAAGUCAUGGUUAAGUGGGAAACGAUGUGGGAAGGCCCAGACAGCCAGGAUGUUGGCUUAGAAGCAGCCAUCAUUUAAAGAAAGCGUAAUAGCUCACUGGUCGAGUCGGCCUGCGCGGAAGAUGUAACGGGGCUAAACCAUGCACCGAAGCUGCGGCAGCGACACUCAGGUGUUGUUGGGUAGGGGAGCGUUCUGUAAGCCUGCGAAGGUGGCCUGUGAGGGUUGCUGGAGGUAUCAGAAGUGCGAAUGCUGACAUAAGUAACGAUAAAGCGGGUGAAAAGCCCGCUCGCCGGAAGACCAAGGGUUCCUGUCCAACGUUAAUCGGGGCAGGGUGAGUCGACCCCUAAGGCGAGGCCGAAAGGCGUAGUCGAUGGGAAACGGGUUAAUAUUCCCGUACUUGGUGUUACUGCGAAGGGGGGACGGAGAAGGCUAUGUUGGCCGGGCGACGGUUGUCCCGGUUUAAGCGUGUAGGUGUGUGUUCCAGGUAAAUCCGGUUCACUUUAACACUGAGGCGUGAUGACGAGGCACUACGGUGCUGAAGCAACAAAUGCCCUGCUUCCAGGAAAAGCCUCUAAGCAUCAGGUAACAUCAAAUCGUACCCCAAACCGACACAGGUGGUCAGGUAGAGAAUACCAAGGCGCUUGAGAGAACUCGGGUGAAGGAACUAGGCAAAAUGGUGCCGUAACUUCGGGAGAAGGCACGCUGACACGUAGGUGAAGUGAUUUACUCAUGGAGCUGAAGUCAGUCGAAGAUACCAGCUGGCUGCAACUGUUUAUUAAAAACACAGCACUGUGCAAACACGAAAGUGGACGUAUACGGUGUGACGCCUGCCCGGUGCCGGAAGGUUAAUUGAUGGGGUCAGCGCAAGCGAAGCUCCUGAUCGAAGCCCCGGUAAACGGCGGCCGUAACUAUAACGGUCCUAAGGUAGCGAAAUUCCUUGUCGGGUAAGUUCCGACCUGCACGAAUGGCGUAAUGAUGGCCAGGCUGUCUCCACCCGAGACUCAGUGAAAUUGAACUCGCUGUGAAGAUGCAGUGUACCCGCGGCAAGACGGAAAGACCCCGUGAACCUUUACUAUAGCUUGACACUGAACAUUGAGCCUUGAUGUGUAGGAUAGGUGGGAGGCUUUGAAGUGUGGACGCCAGUCUGCAUGGAGCCGACCUUGAAAUACCACCCUUUAAUGUUUGAUGUUCUAACGUGGACCCGUGAUCCGGGUUGCGGACAGUGUCUGGUGGGUAGUUUGACUGGGGCGGUCUCCUCCUAAAGAGUAACGGAGGAGCACGAAGGUUGGCUAAUCCUGGUCGGACAUCAGGAGGUUAGUGCAAUGGCAUAAGCCAGCUUGACUGCGAGCGUGACGGCGCGAGCAGGUGCGAAAGCAGGUCAUAGUGAUCCGGUGGUUCUGAAUGGAAGGGCCAUCGCUCAACGGAUAAAAGGUACUCCGGGGAUAACAGGCUGAUACCGCCCAAGAGUUCAUAUCGACGGCGGUGUUUGGCACCUCGAUGUCGGCUCAUCACAUCCUGGGGCUGAAGUAGGUCCCAAGGGUAUGGCUGUUCGCCAUUUAAAGUGGUACGCGAGCUGGGUUUAGAACGUCGUGAGACAGUUCGGUCCCUAUCUGCCGUGGGCGCUGGAGAACUGAGGGGGGCUGCUCCUAGUACGAGAGGACCGGAGUGGACGCAUCACUGGUGUUCGGGUUGUCAUGCCAAUGGCACUGCCCGGUAGCUAAAUGCGGAAGAGAUAAGUGCUGAAAGCAUCUAAGCACGAAACUUGCCCCGAGAUGAGUUCUCCCUGAGACUUAGAGUCUCCUGAAGGAACGUUGAAGACGACGACGUUGAUAGGCCGGGUGUGUAAGCGCAGCGAUGCGUUGAGCUAACCGGUACUAAUGAACCGUGAGGCUUAACCUUACAACGCCGAAG
RNAcentral lists this ribosomal RNA (3028 nucleotides) under Salmonella enterica subsp. enterica serovar Antsalova str. S01-0511. RNAcentral describes it as "bacterial LSU rRNA". It matches the Rfam family "Bacterial large subunit ribosomal RNA". The record is from RNAcentral. Lineage: Bacteria; Pseudomonadati; Pseudomonadota; Gammaproteobacteria; Enterobacterales; Enterobacteriaceae.